Molecule: small RNA, 739 nt
Filed under: Pongo abelii (Sumatran orangutan)
Lineage: Eukaryota; Metazoa; Chordata; Mammalia; Primates; Hominidae
Description: retained intron
Source: RNAcentral
CUCACACGCAUAAGGGGUGCGAGCGGCGGCGGCCAUGGACGACGAGGAGGAGACGUACCGGCUCUGGAAAAUCCGCAAGACCAUCAUGCAGCUGUGCCACGACCGUGGCUACCUGGUGACCCAGGACGAGCUUGACCAGACCCUGGAGGAGUUCAAAGCCCAAUUUGGGGACAAGCCGAGUGAGGGGCGGCCGCGGCGCACGGACCUCACCGUGCUGGUGGCCCACAACGAUGACCCCACCGACCAGAUGUUUGUGUUCUUUCCAGAGGAGCCCAAGGUGGGCAUCAAGACCAUCAAGGUGUACUGCCAGCGCAUGCAGGAGGAGAACAUCACGCGGGCCCUCAUCGUGGUGCAGCAGGGCAUGACACCCUCCGCCAAGCAGGUGGGCACCCCCGCCCCACCCCGCCAGCCUCUCCCCCUCCCCAGCCUCCUCCCCCGAGCAGGUGGGCACCCCUGCCCUGGCCCACCCCACCAGCCUCUCACCCUCCCCAGCCUCCUCCCGCGAGCAGUACCCACAGGCGGCCCACAUGCCUUGGGCUUUGGGCUAGGCCAGCCAGGGUGCCCUGGAGGAUGUGGCCGGGAUGUCCGACAAGCCCCGACUGCCUCCCUCCCACCGCGUCCAUGGGCCCCACCCCAGGCAGCCGCCAUCUUCCCCCAGCUCUCAGGAGGGGUGUCAGGGUGGAGGGCACUGUGCUUCUCGCCAGCUCCUGUGGGCUUCAGCCCUCGGCCUGGUGCAGAU